This 253-nucleotide ribosomal RNA is filed under the name uncultured bacterium. Its description in RNAcentral is "partial 16S ribosomal RNA". It matches the Rfam family "Bacterial small subunit ribosomal RNA", at positions 524 to 776 of the family's 1533-position model. The record is from RNAcentral.
UACGAAGGGAGCGAGCGUUGUUCGGAAUUACUGGGCGUAAAGCGCACGUAGGCGGCUUUGUAAGUUAGAGGUGAAAGCCCAGGGCUCAACCCUGGAAUUGCCUUUAAGACUGCAUCGCUAGAAUUGUGGAGAGGUAAGUGGAAUUCCGAGUGUAGAGGUGAAAUUCGUAGAUAUUCGGAAGAACACCAGUGGCGAAGGCGACUUACUGGACACAUAUUGACGCUGAGGUGCGAAAGCGUGGGGAGCAAACAGG